GAUUGUUGAGUGUCGGAAAUGGUUCCCGACGCACCUGUUUACAGGUACCUGAGAUGAUGGAUACACCGCCCAUCCAAUAAUC
Molecule: non-coding RNA, 82 nt
Filed under: unclassified sequences
Description: skipping-rope RNA
Rfam family: skipping-rope RNA
About the family: Firmicutes, Fusobacteria, AlphaProteobacteria, Spirochaetes. Downstream gene
Source: Rfam by way of RNAcentral